ACGGAGGGUGCAAGCGUUAUCCGGAAUCACUGGGUUUAAAGGGUGCGUAGGCGGUCUUGUAAGUCAGAGGUGAAAUCCCACCGCUUAACGGUGGAACUGCCUUUGAAACUACAAGACUUGAAUUAGGUUGAGGUUAGCGGAAUGAGUCAUGUAGCGGUGAAAUGCAUAGAUAUGACUUAGAACACCAAUUGCGAAGGCAGCUGGCUGAGCCUUAAUUGACGCUGAGGCACGAAAGCGUGGGGAGCGAACAGG
This 252-nucleotide ribosomal RNA is filed under the name uncultured bacterium. RNAcentral's name for it is "partial 16S ribosomal RNA". It matches the Rfam family "Bacterial small subunit ribosomal RNA", at positions 525 to 776 of the family's 1533-position model. The record is from RNAcentral.